This 1196-nucleotide ribosomal RNA is filed under the name Lactiplantibacillus sp. RNAcentral describes it as "bacterial SSU rRNA". It matches the Rfam family "Bacterial small subunit ribosomal RNA", at positions 33 to 1200 of the family's 1533-position model. The record is from RNAcentral. Lineage: Bacteria; Bacillati; Bacillota; Bacilli; Lactobacillales; Lactobacillaceae.
GCGGUGGGGGGGUGGCUUAUACAUGCAGUCGAACGAACUCUGGUAAUGAUUGGUGCUUGCAUCAUGAAUUACAUUUGAGUGAGUGGCGAACUGGUGAGUAACACGUGGGAAACCUGCCCAAAAGCGGGGGAUAACACCUGGAAACAGAUGCUAAUACCGCAUAACAACUUGGACCGCAUGGUCCGAGUUUGAAAGAUGGCUUCGGCUAUCACUUUUGGAUGGUCCCGCGGCGUAUUAGCUAGAUGGUGAGGUAACGGCUCACCAUGGCAAUGAUACGUAGCCGACCUGAGAGGGUAAUCGGCCACAUUGGGACUGAGACACGGCCCAAACUCCUACGGGAGGCAGCAGUAGGGAAUCUUCCACAAUGGACGAAAGUCUGAUGGAGCAACGCCGCGUGAGUGAAAAAGGGUUUCGGCUCGUAAAACUCUGUUGUUAAAGAAAAACAUAUCUGAAAGUAACUGUUCAGGUAUUGACGGUAUUUAACCAAAAAGCCACGGCUAACUACGUGCCACCAGCCGCGGUAAUACGUAGGUGGCAAGCGUUGUCCGGAUUUAUUGGGCGUAAAGCGAGCGCAGGCGGUUUUUUAAGUCUGAUGUGAAAGCCUUCGGCUCAACCGAAAAAGUGCAUCGGAAACUGGGAAACUUGAGUGCAGAAAAGGACAGUGGAACUCCAUGUGUAGCGGUGAAAUGCGUAGAUAUAUGGAAGAACACCACUGGCGAAGGCGGCUGUCUGGUCUGUAACUGACGCUGAGGCUCGAAAGUAUGGGUAGCAAACAGGAUUAGAUACCCUGGUAGUCCAUACCGUAAACGAUGAAUGCUAAGUGUUGGAGGGUUUCCGCCCUUCAGUGCUGCAGCUAACGCAUUAAGCAUUCCCCCUGGGGAGUACGGCCGCAAGGCUGAAACUCAAAGGAAUUGACGGGUGGCCCGCACAUCGGUGGAGCAUGUGGUUUUAUCUCGAGCUACGCGAAGAACCCUUACCAGUCUUGGACUACUAUUGCUAAUUCUAAGAGAUUAGACGUUCCCUUGCGGGAACAUCGAUACAGGUGUGCAUGGCUAGCCGACGCCUCAUGUCCUUGAGAUGUUGGUUACAUUCCCGCAACGAGCGCCACAUAUUAUCAUUGCAGCAUUAAGUUGGGCAUCUCUGUGAGACUUGCCGUGGACACCCGGAGAGGCGGGGAAUGACACUCUCAUACCAUC